AAAAUACUCCCUCCGUCUCAAAAUUCUUGUCUUAAAUUUGUGUAGAAAUGAAUGUAUUUAAAUACUAAAACGUGACUAGAUACAUUUAUAUCUAAACAAAUUUAAGACACGUAUUUUGGACGGAGGAGUCAUAAU
Molecule: non-coding RNA, 135 nt
Organism: Hordeum vulgare subsp. vulgare (domesticated barley)
Lineage: Eukaryota; Viridiplantae; Streptophyta; Magnoliopsida; Poales; Poaceae
Source: Rfam